UCAACUGGAUUGUGCCAAUCGGAAAUGUGAAAUUUACCGUGCAAACCUUUAUUCAGUUUUGAAGGAUAUAGAGGACCAUAAGCAACAACUAUCAAUUAAAGUCCAAAACAUAAAGCUUAGCUUGAAGGACGGUCUCUGAAUUUCUCCUGUUGUGGUAUAUGUUCUGUAAUCCUGUACAUAGUUGGUCCUUCAAUUUUUAUUGUACACAAGAAUCUUCCUGGAAUUCUUUUCUAAGGAAAUCACCGUGUGCUCAUUUGGCAGGUGUAGCAUGUAGUGUUCUGUCCAAUAUCUUUAAAGUUGGCAGCACUUCAUCUCUAACUUAGUCUCUGAAUUUCACCUGUUGUGGUAUAUGUUCUGUAAUCCUGUACAUAGUUGGUCCUUCAAUUUUUAUUGUACACAAGAAUCUUCCUGGAAUUCUUUUCUAAGGAAAUCACCGUGUGCUCAUUUGGCAGGUGUAGCAUGUAGUGUUCUGUCCAACAGAGGCGGACCUACGUUGAGGCUUGAGGGGUCACGAGACCCCGUUAGCCUCGGCAAAAACUAUGUAUAUAUAUCUCUUGUAUAUCUCUUUGCCUACAGCUGUGACCCCUUAAAUAUUUUU
RNAcentral lists this long non-coding RNA (598 nucleotides) under Nicotiana tabacum (common tobacco). RNAcentral describes it as "long non-coding RNA (NTAB_LNC007225)". Lineage: Eukaryota; Viridiplantae; Streptophyta; Magnoliopsida; Solanales; Solanaceae. The record is from RNAcentral.